CAGCCGCCGCGGGAAUACAGAGGGUGCAAGCGUUAAUCGGAAUUACUGGGCGUAAAGCGCGCGUAGGUGGUUUGUUAAGUUGGAUGUGAAAGCCCCGGGCUCAACCUGGGAACUGCAUCCAAAACUGGCAAGCUAGAGUACGGUAGAGGGUGGUGGAAUUUCCUGUGUAGCGGUGAAAUGCGUAGAUAUAGGAAGGAACACCAGUGGCGAAGGCGACCACCUGGACUGAUACUGACACUGAGGUGCGAAAGCGUGGGGAGCAAACAGGAUUAGAUACCCGUGUAGUCCCUGUUUCUUAUAC
Molecule: ribosomal RNA, 301 nt
Filed under: uncultured bacterium
Lineage: Bacteria
Description: partial 16S ribosomal RNA
Rfam family: Bacterial small subunit ribosomal RNA
Source: RNAcentral